Molecule: ribosomal RNA, 777 nt
Filed under: uncultured bacterium
Lineage: Bacteria
Description: bacterial SSU rRNA
Rfam family: Bacterial small subunit ribosomal RNA
Source: RNAcentral
GAUUUGAUCCUGGCUCAAAGCGAACGCUGGCGGCACGCCUAACACAUGCAAGUCGAGCGAGAAAGUGACUUCGGUCGCGAGUAAAGCGGCGAACGGGUGAGUACAACGUGGAUAAUCUACCCCAGGGUCCGGGACAACCCCGAGAAAUCGGGGCUAAUACCGGAUAAGACCACGGUAUCCAAGGAUACAGGGGUAAAAGAUUUAUCGCCUUCGGAUGAGUCCACGCCCCAUCAGGUAGUUGGUAAGGUAAAGGCUUACCAAGCCUAAGACGGGUAGCCGGCCUUAGCGGGUGAACGGCCACAUGGGGACUGAGACACGGCCCUGACUCCUACGGGAGGCAGCAGUGGGGAAUAUUGGGCAAUGGGCGAAAGCCUGACCCAGCGAUGCCGCGUGAGGGAUGAAGGCCUUCGGGUUGUAAACCUCUGUCAGGAGGGACGAUGGGACUUUGUCUUGACGGUACCUCCAGAGGAAGCCCCGGCUAACUCCGUGCCAGCAGCCGCGGUAAUACGGAGGGGGCAAGCGUUGCUCGGAAUUACUGGGCGUAAAGGGUCCGCAGGCUGUCGGGCAAGUUGGAUGUGAAAGCUCAAGGCUUAACCUUGGAAUUGCAUCCAAAACUGCCUGACUAGAGUCCAAGAGAGGUUGGCGGAAUUCCCGGUGUAGCGGUGAAAUGCAUAGAUAUCGGGAGGAACACCAGAGGCGAAGGCGGCCAACUGGCUUGGUACUGACGCUCAGGGACGAAAGCGUGGGUAGCAAACCGGAUUAGAUACCCUGGUAGUC